This 447-nucleotide ribosomal RNA is filed under the name uncultured bacterium. Its description in RNAcentral is "partial 16S ribosomal RNA". It matches the Rfam family "Bacterial small subunit ribosomal RNA", at positions 29 to 523 of the family's 1533-position model. The record is from RNAcentral.
AACGAACGCUGGCGGCAGGCUUAACACAUGCAAGUCGAGCGCCCCGCAAGGGGAGCGGCAGACGGGUGAGUAACGCGUGGGAAUCUACCCAUCACUACGGAACAACUCCGGGAAACUGGAGCUAAUACCGUAUACGUCCUUCGGGAGAAAGAUUUAUCGGUGAUGGAUGAGCCCGCGUUGGAUUAGCUAGUUGGUGGGGUAAUGGCCCACCAAGGCGACGAUCCAUAGCUGGUCUGAGAGGAUGAUCAGCCACACUGGGACUGAGACACGGCCCAGACUCCUACGGGAGGCAGCAGUGGGGAAUAUUGGACAAUGGGCGCAAGCCUGAUCCAGCCAUGCCGCGUGAGUGAUGAAGGCCCUAGGGUUGUAAAGCUCUCUCACCGGUGAAGAUAAUGACGGUAACCGGAGAAGAAGCCCCGGCUAACUUCGUGCCAGCAGCCGCAGUAA